RNAcentral lists this ribosomal RNA (253 nucleotides) under uncultured bacterium. RNAcentral's name for it is "partial 16S ribosomal RNA". It matches the Rfam family "Bacterial small subunit ribosomal RNA", at positions 524 to 776 of the family's 1533-position model. The record is from RNAcentral.
UACAGAGGGUGCGAGCGUUAAUCGGAAUUACUGGGCGUAAAGCGUGCGUAGACGGUUAUUUAAGUCGGAUGUGAAAGCCCCGGGCUCAACCUGGGAAUUGCAUUCGAGACUGAAUAGCUAGGGUGCGGUAGAGGGAAGCGGAAUUUCCGGUGUAGCGGUGAAAUGCGUAGAGAUCAGGCAGAACACCUGGGGCGAAGGCGGCCAGCUGGGCCGUCCCUGACGCUGAGGCGCGAAGGCGUGGGGAGCGAACGGG